Molecule: ribosomal RNA, 493 nt
Filed under: uncultured bacterium
Lineage: Bacteria
Description: bacterial SSU rRNA
Rfam family: Bacterial small subunit ribosomal RNA
Source: RNAcentral
GAUUAUGGCUCAGAACGAACGCUGGUGGCGUGCUUAUACAUGCAAGUCGAGCGAGGCAGCAAUGCCGAGCGGCGAACGGGUGAGUAACGCGUAAGCAAUCUGCCCCAUAUCAGGAAAUACCCGUGCCAACGCGCGGUUAAUGUCCAGGAGAGUGGCCCUCCGCAUGGAGGGUUGACUAGAGAUUCAUCGGUAUGGGAUGAGCUUGCGUCCGAUUAGCUAGUUGGCGGGGCAACGGCCCACCAAGGCGACGAUCGGUAGCCGGCCUGAGAGGGUGAUCGGCCACAUUGGGACUGAGAUACGGCCCAGACUCCUACGGGAGGCAGCAGUAGGGAAUAUUGCACAAUGGGGGAAACCCUGAUGCAGCAACGCCACGUGUUGGGAAGAAGCAUUUCGGUGUGUAAACCACUGUCAUGAGGGAAUAAGGCCCGCCUUCCGGACGGACCUUGAAUGUACCUUGAGAGGAAGCACCGGCAAACUUCGUGCCAGCCGCAGC